AAAAAAAAAAAAAAAAAAAAUACGGACUGCAAAGACCCCUUCCUACCAGCACCCACCCCCAGCCUUGAGCGCCUCCCUCGGUGCAUGCGCUGUGACGCAGCACCUGUACCCUUCCCUCGAUUGAUCAGACACCCCUUGAUCAGACACCCCUGCAUGAGCCUAUCUUUGUGUCUGCUGUGGUCCAAAUGUUUGCGGCCCCUCCAAAAUUCGCCUUGAUCCCCAACCCCUGAGGCAAUAGUGGCAGCAGGCCCAAUCCUCCUGAAGGGAUUAACGCCCUAGAAAGGAGCUCCAGGCAGCAAGUUGACGCCUCCGCUCUUCCGUGUGAGCACACAGCUUUCGUCUCCUUUCUGCCCUCACAUCUCCUCUGCCGUGCAAGGACAUCCAGGCGGCACCUCGCAGCAACACGCUCAGGAGACACUGAGCCUGCCAGCACCUUGGCCUUGAACUUGCAGCCGCCCCAGCUGUGAGAACGUAGAUUUCUGUUCUGUAUAAACUGCCAAUUCCUUGUUAUUUUGCAACAUAAACAGACUAAGACAGUAUCUCUAGCCCCUACGACAGUAUCUGCUAACAAACGCUAAGGAAUAAAUAAAUGGAUUUAGCUGUAUUGGGUGAGUCCUGAAGCAGAAUUUAUUGCUUAGAUUAGCCCCAGAAACACAGCCCUGGAAAUUGCUCCACAAGCACAAAACCUGAGGUGAGGAGCAUGCUAGUUUUCACCAGGGCAAACCCACCUCUCCAUUGCAGGGUCAGAACCAGCCUUUGUGAAUCUUUUGGGAAUUAGGAGCAGGCAGAUCUGCCUGGGGCAAUUUGCCAUCCACCAAGCCAAAUGGUCAUUCUUCACCAGAUGGUCUUGGAGCUGUUAUUUCUUCCUAGUCACAUGUCCGAGCUGACGCAAUCGCGUCCCAGAGGUUAUAAGAGAAAAGUUGCUGACAUUCACGUCUGACGGAGCCAGUGCCUUGUUUCUGUUUCUGUGGCAAAGGUUUUCUCAACAACAGCCUCCUUGAGAAGUGUACACACACACAGCUUGCCUGCCCAGGCCACAGCGGGAGCCAAGGCUGGAGCUGUGGCUGAGUGGAAAACACCGAGCUCUGAAGGAGCAACAGCCUAGUCAGUACUCUCACCGGGGAGCUCAGAGACGGCAAACAUACGUCAUGCCCUGUAAGAAAUAAGAACAGAAGUUGAGUCCUAGUAAGAGUUUUCAAGUGGGUCCCACGGCUAAAUGAGUGCUGUCUCUUCAUUCAAACAGAGAGGGCAAAGGAACACGAUGGAACAUUCCACUGGGCCCAGCAAGGAUAUGAGUAUACAUUUUUAUUGCCCUGGUUAAGAUCACAAAGAUCAAGCGUGUAAAUUCCACACUUCUUUCCCCCUGAAGUGGCCGGUGAGGUCCGCAAGGCUUCUGUCAGCUCGUGGCACACAGGUGCUCCGAUGGCACCGCCUGCCUCUUUGCACCUGGCACCAUGAAUUCCCAGUUGGUCUCUCCGCAGCGCUAUCCCGAGUCCUACAGUCUAUACAGACAUCCCUUGUUGAACAACCGACCUGUUUGAAAACCGUUUGGACUUGUAGUGUGCCACUUGGACGCAUGACCCGUCUUUUUUUUACGCAGUUCUGUUGUUUAUAGAGUUUCAGUGUUUUAUUCUUGUACGAUCCAUUUUGUGUGUAUAGUGCUGUAAUUUCCGCCAAUUGUACUGUACAACACAGUAGCUUCAUGUUCUGUUAUAUAUUAUAUAUUACAGGACUGCAUGUGGCAGUUACACAAACAAAAGCAAAGUCAUCAAGGUGGACUUUCCCUUGACCAUUUCCUUGUGUUGAAUAUUGUAAUGUACAUAGGAUAUGCAAUUUGUGAUUUAGUGACCCAUUUGUUUAACAGCUAGUCACAGGUAUGUGACUUAGUCAUUAAACAAGGCGUGUUUAUUGCAACCGCUGACAGCAUUCCCUCAUCCUAGCUAUGAGGCCACUCCAGGUCUUCCGUUCCUUAGGGCCUGCCAAGCCACAGUUGAUCAGUUUUGGUUGCUCCUCAACAUGCCGGGCAUACAGGACCCCAGCCACCCCUGUUGCCAGAGUCCCAUCUGCUCUUCCCCCCACAGUGGCAUCAGGAACGCUCCCGGGGCUGGCUGAUCCUAGGCCGCUGGAUCCCUGUUGUCUGUACGCUCAUCUGACUUGACCGGUGAAGGGGCACCGAGGGUGGUAGAGGACCCACACUCGUCUGGGGAGUCCAACUAAUAGCUCAGUGUUUUCCCUCCUACCUACCUCUUUCUGCAUUUCCCAGCCCAGCCAGUUGUGCGGUAAAGUUUGGUACCUGAAGGUAAAAAAAGCACCCCUUUUCACUUCACCUACUGUUCUAUGCCUAGACUGCAACUUCUGCUCAGUGCCAAAAAGAUCAUGCUCUUAUAACUAAAAAUUCUUUUUCUUUCAAGUACUCUACCUCUGUUAUCAGCUUCAGAUUUCAGUAUGGCAUUCUGUGCAUUAUAUACAUUUAAAAAUGUAGAUUAUUGUUUCCUGUGCAUAAAUCAUUAUAUAAAAGGUAUGGUCACACUCUGCUCAUUACUGGUGUUUUGUUUUGUGCUGUUUUGCUUCUGCUAAGCUUUGUCUUUUCCUGUUCCUAUGUACAAACCUAAUAUGCAGCUUCUAAUUGCUGCACGUUACACCCUAGAUAUUCACAUUUUCUUUUACCUCCUCACAAAUGAUGGACCUUCACAUUUAAAGUUCAUGCUGUUCUAUAAGGUUAUAUUGCAAUAAAUAUCUUCAUCCACCUUCCCUUGAAAAACUGUCUAAAAAUUUUAUGUACAAGAUUUCAAGUACAAGAAGUGAGAUUCCCAGCUACAAGGUAUGCACGUUUGGUUUGAAUUUGCACUGCCAGAUUGUUCAGACCAGCUGCACAAACAUUACACUAGCUCUGAAAUCUUAACCCCAGCCCUAACCUUAACCCUAACCCCAACCUUAAACCUAACCCUACAUCCUUUCUCACCAGCAAUUCAUAUCCUUAUACUGCCAGCCACUGGUAAUGCCCGGUGUUCUAAUUUUGUACCUAGCUAGUAAGUGUAAAGUGAUAUCUUGUAAUUGUCUUAUUUAAUAAUGACUUUGCACGUUUCUUAACUGUCUGCUAGUUUGAGAGGACCCUUUGCUUUUAGUGAACUGC
Molecule: long non-coding RNA, 3133 nt
Organism: Chinchilla lanigera (long-tailed chinchilla)
Lineage: Eukaryota; Metazoa; Chordata; Mammalia; Rodentia; Chinchillidae
Exons: 3
Source: RefSeq, a predicted model, not a curated record